Molecule: ribosomal RNA, 520 nt
Filed under: Munidopsis sp. 5 PCRF-2022a
Lineage: Eukaryota; Metazoa; Arthropoda; Malacostraca; Decapoda; Munidopsidae
Description: partial large subunit ribosomal RNA
Rfam family: Bacterial large subunit ribosomal RNA
Source: RNAcentral
GUCUGUAUGAAGGUGUAUAGAGUCUGACCUGCCCAUUGAGAUUUUAAAAGGCCGCAGUAUUUUGACUGUGCAAAGGUAGCAUAAUAAUUAGUUUUUUAAUUGAGAGCUUGAAUGAAGGGUUGGACAAAGAAAGAGCUGUCUUUAGUAUUUUUUUUGAAUUUUACAUUUAAGUGAAAAGGCUUAAAUUAAUUUAAGGGACGAUAAGACCCUAUAAAUCUUUACAUUUAUAUUUAUAUUUUUUUGUUGUAGGUUAUGAAUUAAAUUAAGGUAUUAAAUGAAUGUUGUGUUGGGGUGACGGAGAUAUAUAAGUAAGAAGCUGUCUUUAAUAAAAAACAAAUAAUAAUUGAUUUUUGUGUAGAUCCUUGUUUAAAGAUUAUAAGUUUAAGUUACUUUAGGGAUAACAGCGUAAUUUUUUUUGAGAGUUCACAUCGAAAAGAAAGUUUGCGACCUCGAUGUUGAAUUAAAAUUUCCGUGUAGUGCAGAAGCUAUAAAGGAAAGUCUGUUCGACUUUUAAAUUUUU